Molecule: long non-coding RNA, 1403 nt
Organism: Xenia sp. Carnegie-2017
Lineage: Eukaryota; Metazoa; Cnidaria; Anthozoa; Malacalcyonacea; Xeniidae
Exons: 3
Source: RefSeq, a predicted model, not a curated record
CUGUUGGUAAUCAAUAUGAAACAGUAAAUAAUCCAUCAACAAGUGAUGAAAGUAAACCAUCAACAAGCAAAGCACCACCACCUGUAUAUUCCCUCGAUCGAUAGAGAAAACAGAAAGGAAAUCCGUUAUGCUCCUCACUUGAUUUAAAAGAUGUCCCUUAAAAAAACCCUGCCCAAAAUCGUCCUGCACCAACUGAAUACGCCAGGAUUGAUAUGAGUAAACUGGCACCUGUCGAGAAAAAAGACGACAAGAAAGGUGAUGACAAAAAAGGCGAUGAAAAGAAGGAAUAAACUGGCGAUCGUCGUUAAUAAAACAAGAGUACGUAAAGACUGUUACUACAUUUAUAAAGUUUUAUUUUGUUCUUCAUUAGAUAAUCUAGAUUUGAUCUCUAAACAGUAUUAAACUGAAUACUUUAUGAUUGUGUCUGUGUACAUAAUCUUUUGCCGUGAACAAACUUGAAUCUUGGCAUCUAUGCUACAGUUUGUGAAUGUGUAUUUUACUUGCCUUUAUAAGGCAACAACAUUACACACUGACUUUAACACAGCAUUUUGAAUAGAAUAUUGUUUUAAUCGUAGUUUUACUUUUAUUAUUUUAAUUAUCAUGGUUAAACCAUUUAAACUUUUAUUUACAUAGAAAUUAAGUGUAGAAAUUAGAGAAAUCAAGCAAUUUCAAGGAGUGUGAUGGAAAACUCUUUAAAUUUCUUCUUUACGAUUGAAUGAUUUCAUAUGCAUUAGUGUAAGGGAUGUUUACGAAUAAAACAAUUUCGUGAUCAUUAUUAUUUUUGCUUGUUUAUUUUCGUGUCUACUGUAGAUGUGAGAUUUUACCUACCCCCAAAGACAAGCUAACAUUGAGUGGCUUUGUUUCAGCAAGCUUGGGCGGUAAAGAAAUUUUUUAAUUUAAAAAUUUCUAGGAAGACAGCAAACUGCCAUUAAAAACAAUUUAGUGAACAAAAUGUAACUAAAUUUUAAUGUGUGAGUCACUGCACAAUGGAUUGUGCUAUCCUUCCUUCGUAUAAACAAUGCUUCAAUUCCAUAAACAUCAAUUGUAGUUUUCAGCAAGCAAAUAUCUCAAUUAUGCUCAUCAGUGGACAAUAUUCAUUGAUCUUUAAUGAUAAUCAAUGACAGGUGAGCAGGAUAGCCUAAGGUAGAAGAUAGCCUAAAUAUAUAUAUACCGCAGAAUGCAGAUUUUCAAUUAUUUCUUACACUAAAAUGAUUCGUAAAAUUCAAAUGUCUUACUUGGGAGUGAAUACGCUUUAUUUUAAACCGGAUUUGCAAUUCUAUAUUGUCCCCUUAUUUACUAAAAUUUUGUAAAAUUUUCUGUCAUUUAAGAUUCUAAGCUAAUGGGAAAACAAUGUAAAUACAACGAUUAAAAGAAAUUAUAGAACAUUACUUUUGUACUUUUAA